GAAGAGUAUAGGGACUUAUGGCAU
This 24-nucleotide microRNA is filed under the name Gossypium raimondii (Peruvian cotton). RNAcentral describes it as "gra-miR8732". Lineage: Eukaryota; Viridiplantae; Streptophyta; Magnoliopsida; Malvales; Malvaceae. The record is from miRBase by way of RNAcentral.